ACUUAAAUAAUUUAAAUAAAAUAUUGAUUUGUGGAAUCAAAUAUAUGAUUAUAGUCAUUUUAAGUU
RNAcentral lists this transfer RNA (66 nucleotides) under Nymphalis c-aureum. RNAcentral describes it as "Polygonia c-aureum tRNA-His". Lineage: Eukaryota; Metazoa; Arthropoda; Insecta; Lepidoptera; Nymphalidae. The record is from RNAcentral.